GAUGAACGCUGGCGGCGUGCCUAAUACAUGCAAGUCGAGCGAACGGACGAGAAGCUUGCUUCUCUGAUGUUAGCGGCGGACGGGUGAGUAACACGUGGAUCACCUACCUAUAAGACUGGGAUAACUUCGGGAAACCGGAUCUAAUACCGGCUAAUAUUUUGAACCGCAUGGUUCAAAAGUGAAAGACGCUCUUGCUGUCACUUAUAGAUGGAUCCGCGCUGCAUUAGCUAGUUGGUAAGGUAACGGCUUACCAAGGCAACGAUGCAUAGCCGACCUGAGAGGGUGAUCGGCCACACUGGAACUGAGACACGGUCCAGACUCCUACGGGAGGCAGCAGUAGGGAAUCUUCCGCAAUGGGCGAAAGCCUGACGGAGCAACGCCGCGUGAGUGAUGAAGGUCUUCGGAUCGUAAAACUCUGUUAUUAGGGAAGAACAUAUGUGUAAGUAAAUGUGCACAUCUUGACGGUACCUAAUCAGAAAGCAACGGCUAACUACGUG
This 497-nucleotide ribosomal RNA is filed under the name uncultured bacterium. RNAcentral describes it as "partial 16S ribosomal RNA". It matches the Rfam family "Bacterial small subunit ribosomal RNA", at positions 28 to 507 of the family's 1533-position model. The record is from RNAcentral.